AGCUUGCUUCAGAGAAAUUUAAGAACAAGGCACAUGAACCCUCAUCCCUACUAAAAUAAAAGACCAAACUGCCAGUGGCUUCAACAAGGGCACAAACUCAAGGUUUAGAAGGAGUACUGUGAUACGUAUAUCCUCAGCCGGAUGACAGAGCUUCCCCUGAAGUUGAUGACGGUGUUAACAGUGAUCAUUUCCAAGUCCAACUGAAUAGUACGGGGCCCCUUCACGGGACGGGUCAUCACCAGAGUAGCGCUGAUCGGUCCCGUUUGCUGUGCACAAAACAAGAGGAAACAGUGAGAAUCUGAGGUUCUCGGGAGGAAUGCGUAUUGGAAUCUACCAAAACCCAUCACGCUACCGGUUUCUGUGAGGAAGUGUGGGAACCGUCAAUAGCCACUGAACAUCACUUAAGGUGAAUAUCAAAGCCAGGUUUUGUCUAGGGUUAAAAAUCAACCUUCUGAAUGCCACCAUCACUGGUGGCUGUGCCUCAUUCUCUGCAGACACUUCCCACCACCCCUGUGUGUCAGAGGUGCCAUGAAGAUGACUGGGGAACAGAGAUGUCUUCUGAGGAAAAUUCAGAUUAAAAAAAAAAAGUAGUUGCAUUUUCUCUAACAGUAACUACAUAAAAUGUGUGCUCAGUGAAAAAAAAACAACAUAACAAAUGAAAGCAAAGAACCCAGAAAGUCAAUUCAUGGGAUAAAGGGGAGGUGGGGGGGGUGCUUACUU
Non-coding RNA from Phalacrocorax carbo (great cormorant), 720 nucleotides. The record is from RefSeq and is a predicted model, not a curated record. Lineage: Eukaryota; Metazoa; Chordata; Aves; Suliformes; Phalacrocoracidae.